UCGCUUUCUCUUUGCUCUUGUUUGAGGUUUUGAUCUAUAUGGAUUGUAAGACGGAUCUGUCUCUCUUUAUGCGAGCCGCCCACUCUUGCAGCAAGUGUCAUCUGUAUGUGUGGCAUAUUAAAGGCCUGUGGGAACUCAUUAGGGUGACAGACGCAGGGCUUACUCUCCCUCGCUUGGAUUGCCAUGUUUGUGCCAUGACGGGUUCAGAAAGUGCAGUGAGAGGGCAGAGGUGGCGUGCGGAGCUGAUUCUUCUGAGCCGAAUCUUACUAUAUAGCUUAAAACCUUUUUGAGUUAUUUCAAGCUGUAAUUUGGAAGUGACCAAAAAUGAUGACUUUUAUCUUGCCUAUAUCUCACCAUGAUUUAAGAGAAGAGUGUCUCCCUCUGAAACCCUUUCCACUGAUGUUGCUGUUUGGCAGUGUUACUUAUAUCUCAUAUUUCAUAAUAUUUUUUUCUGUUCUAUGCAUUAUUUCGAGAAGACUCUGCCUUCCUUGCCUCCUUGGAGGAAAUGUCUCUGGAGUGCAUGUGUGUUUUUUUGUGAGCGUUUGUGAGUGUGUGCUGUGUAUAAGGGACUUUCCUUUGUCUU
This is a long non-coding RNA of Cyprinus carpio carpio, 583 nucleotides long. Lineage: Eukaryota; Metazoa; Chordata; Actinopteri; Cypriniformes; Cyprinidae. The record is from Ensembl.